RNAcentral lists this long non-coding RNA (4585 nucleotides) under Pelobates cultripes (western spadefoot toad). Lineage: Eukaryota; Metazoa; Chordata; Amphibia; Anura; Pelobatidae. The record is from RNAcentral.
GUGCAUUAAAAUAAGACAUGUCACAACAUGAAGGGAUGCAAAACAUUUUAUUCUUUAAAAAAAGUUACUUUACCAUAAAUGUAUAUUAAUAGAUUACCUAUGAUGGCUUUCAAUACCAAAAUAUAUAUGUUUAUAUAGGCAGUUUUCUCUUUACAGAUUUAGGCAAAGCGUAAAAUGCCAUAGUAUAGGCCAGGCUUCCCCAAAUUCCGGCCCUCCAGAUGUUGCUUAACUACAUCUCCCAUGAUUCUAUAAAUGAAAUAGGCUGAGAAUCAUGAGUUGUAGUUAAGCAUUAUGUGGAGGGCCAGAGUUUAGGGAAGCCUGGCAUAUAAUAUCAAAGGAUAUUUACAUAUCAAUCCAAAACUGGGAGAAGGAUAGGGUAAUAUUUCAAGAAGGUCCAGAAUUGGACCAGCCAAGCCCAUUUCUGCAUGUGUUCAGGGUAAAUUACUACAUGGAUACCUCUUAAUACAUUUAGUGUGUGGAGCUAGGCAGCAGUUGUUCAGCUGUUAAAAGGCUUGGCAGCUUCCAGGGGACAAACCACUAAGUUGUACUUCAUAAUGACUGAGGAUAUAACUCCCUUCAGUGUCAACCUGAGGUAUGGUGAUGCAUACAGGGUCUUAAUCAAACACAUUUAAACUACUAUACAAGUGAAUUCAUUUUUCAAUAUUCUUAAGUCCAUAAUGAUUGACCAUUUUAACAGAUCAGAUGGUUUCAGGUUCUUUACGAGUCAUGUAUAUGCCAGAUAAGAUUAUGCUUUAAUCUAUAAGAUUCCAUACUAAAAUUCAGUUCUACAGCAGACCAGAGAAGAAAAAAAUUCUUACAAAUAACCCAUUACCUCUUAUAAAAGACCUGUUACGCACCAGCUUGAGAACUUCACGUUGGCUCUACCUUGACUUGGCAUAAUCUUGAAAAGAGCAGCACUUAAAUCAGGGGGCAAUCUGCAGGGAUUGCCUGAUGCAAAGACCAGUUUUGCAUUACAUUGCCCAAAAUAUCCCCCAGUUUUGAAUGAGAAAUACGUUCAGUUAUUUACUAACAUGCAUAGACAUACACAAAGGGCAAAGCCUGUACAGUGCAAAAAUACUGUUCAAGUAGUCACAUUCUUAUGGGGAAACCAAAAGACAGGAUAACUAUAAAACUAUACUACAAAUUUUAAAUGCAUAGUAUUGAAGAAAUUGCAACGUUACCAAGCCCCCCGCCAAAAAUCUUUUACUUUUUAAUUUUCUAUACAAUACUUUUCACAGCAAAGCACAAAGUUUAAUGGAAACUUCAUUAUCUAUACUCUGUGAACGCAUCUUUAUUUAUUUACAAAGAUCAGGUAGCCAUAUAAAUAGUAAUAUAGACAAAGUGUAUCACAAGCAACAGCGAAUUCAAAUAAAGUUGGCACGGCGGACACAUAAAUGAGCAUGAAACACUCGUAUGGGGGGACGGGACUGCCUGCUUUAGACAAUUAGCAUAUAUAUUUGGUACUAUGAAUAUCCAACAGGGCGGUAAUAUUUUCCAUUUAUACCUACUCGUUACAAUGUUGACUUUUUAGAGUGCCAACAAUUUACUUUACACAGUUUGUAUGGAGAACAAUGUACUGUAUAUGCUCAUCAAUUUAUCUGUUCUAGACUAAAAUAGUUUUCCCCUUUAUACUGGAGUGUGGCAUCUGUUGGACUUUAGAAUUAUAUAAUAAAAUGUAAGUUAUAUGCUUCGAUGAAAAUCUGUGAAUCGGCUACAGUUACUGAAGGUCCAACACAGGUGCUCAAUAGCUUCAAAGUCACAUGACGCAGCCCUUUGAAGGUCAAUGCAAGAAUGUUUGUCCAAUUGCAUUACAUUGUUAGCAAGAUAAUCCAAGGUUGUAAGGGUCUAUCAAUCCUGAGGUUACGGUGGGAACAUUGUUUUAAAUAGCCUGGUGCAAAAAAAACUUACUAUUUAGGAAAAUGCACACUCUUGUCUUUAACAUUUCGAAUUGGAGAACAGCCAUGUAGACAGAGUGAAAUAAUCACUUUUUACUGAUUGGAACAGACAUAGCUCCCUCUAGCAUAGCUAAAAAAGUAAAAGGAUUAUUUUCCCCAGAAAAGCUCUAUACAGCAAUUAUUCUUUGCAGCAACAUUGAUUUAUCCAAACACAGACUGCAUACAUGGGGAAGUCUUAACAGAUAAUAAAGUAUGCACUCAAAGUUUUAAAUGGUAAUUGUAUGCAAAAAAUAUAUACACACAGCAUUAUUAACCUCCAAAAUAUGCAGAUCUUCCUUAUUUUAUAGCUACAUAUUUAUAAACUGAUUUUUCUAGCUUGCAUUCGUUGCAGAAAAACUUCACAUGUGGUUUGAAAGAAAAGCAAGAUGGCUGCCACUAGCAAUCUUAUAUGCACAAAGUUCUGUUUAUUUGUAACAACACAUUAACAGUAAGCUCAAACUGUUAAGUAGUCAGAGGUCAAUCAUAGAAUUCAUUACAAAUUAUUAUCCACAUAGCUUGUUUUGGAAUCUGUCACUCUGCUAAGAAAAACCCUCAUCCCACUUUCCGAUUGUAAGAAAACUAAAAGAUCUGUUUUAUUUGAUUAGUGAUACAUAUAUUAAUUUAUAAAGGACCCGGUUUAUUCCAGAUGAAACCUCGGUUCUCAUUACUAAGGGGUACAAUUUCUUUCAUAUCCUGUACAAAGAAAUGUUCAUUCAUUCAUUCAUUGACUUAGCACAGGAACCCUUAUUUCUGCCCAGUACAGUGUCUACUUAAUUGUCCCCAUAUGGGUGAAAAUCUUACACGUCUCUAGGCAAGUUCAUUUCACUUCUGCAAAACCAAAAUGAAUACUUUAGAAUAUAAAAUUACCAUUAACAUAUUGCAGACUUUUGUUAAAUUUCAGUUACAUCCUCUGCAACACAAGUGUUAAAAUUAUAGAUGUGUAUAGUGUGAAUGAAUGAAUACAAUACAUUGACAAUAUAUGGCAAAAUAGAAUCUAUGCACUGAACAGUAACUUGUCCAACUUUUAAUAAAGAAAAGUUAAUGUGAUUUGAAUAAUUAAACGCGUACUUGAAGAUUUUCAUGAACCCUGUCAUGAUACAGCUAUUUUACCUAAAUAUCUAGUAACUGAUCAAUAAAAAUGUCCUCCAGCCCCCCACAAUCCAUCUGUACUCAAAUUUGGCUAUACCAAUUAUUAUACAACAUGAAACAGUUUUUAAAGUGUGUUACAUAUGUAGCUAUCACCCUACUUCUAAUACCCUCCGAAAACACUAAAUGGAUUAGAAAAAAAAUACAGCAAUGAUGUAAAUAUAUAGGUUUUUUUUUUUUAAAUUAAAGUGGUGAGUAUGAAAUGUCAAUAUAAAUGCGGUGACAUGGUAGCAUUACACUGCUGAGGACAGUGACAUUAAUAAAGACACACUAAGGGAGCUAAUGUAAAGUUUAGGCUUGGGGUCUUUACAGUGAUCAGUAUAGCAAUAGGGAAAGUUGGGAUUUGGGGUACUGUGCCUCUACAACGUUGUGUAGUUUAAUUCCCAUUCCCAAGAUACUAUGCCAGGGGGGGGGGAAAGCCUGGUAAAAUUAUACAGUGUUAAAUCUAUACAUUUGUUAUCCAUCUGGUUAUCACACAGGUAUUUGCACAUGAAGUUGUCAAUCACAAAGAGCAACGCAUUUUGUAAUACAUUUUGUAGAAUAUUUGUGACAAUAUUACCUUUUUUACAUUAAUGAUCAUUCAACAAUUUCUACAAAAAUAUGCACACAAGUGUUAUAUUUCCACAUAUUGUAUCUAUUUAAUGCCUUAAACUUCUGGAUCUUUACAUACCAGUGUUAAACUUCAAACAAUAUGAAAAAAAAAUACAUACAUAUACAUAUAUAUAUAUAUAUAUAUACACAUAUACAUAUAUAUACAUACAUAUACAUAUAAACAACAAAAAACAAAACUGGCUUUUGAAUAUAAUGAGAAAAAAAGUUCUUCUGAGUGCAUAGAAUUAUACAAAUUUUCUCUCAUUAAUCCCUUCUCAACAGAGAAUUACACAAUUUUGAAAAAAAAUGUAUCUUGACAGUCCGUUACAUUUACAUGAUCUUGGUUUUUACGGUCUUGUAUUGUUAGAAAAAUUUACAAACUAUACUGGUUAUUUUUAGCCCAGUUAGGUUUUUUGUUUCCCCCACACCUUUAAUUUUUACAAAACAGACUUUCCCAAACCACAGAGUUAUUCACCAAAGUGGAAAUUCAAAGUUAACCCAACAUGAAUUUCACAUUUAAGGUUAAAUUAGGCAAACUGGAAAAAUUCUCAGCUAUGCUUUCAGAUUGACUACUCUAGCCUUAAAAUUGUAAUUCUCUUUUAAUUUUCAUUUUAGUAAAUAAGUCUUUAGACUGAGUCUCUUCUAAGAUGUACACAUUUUCAGCAAUGUAGCCUUAUAUACGGAUCCAGAAAUUCAGUUUUAACAUUACACCUACAUCUCUGCUAUGGUAAAAAAAAAUAAGUAAAAAAAAAAUUUUUUAAGGUGCACAUUUAACAAAAGCUAUGCAGAGAAGAAAAAAAAAAUGUAAACAAAUUAAAAAACAAAACAAAACAAAAAAACCCUUCCUUUACAAGAUGUAAUUACAAUCACAAAUUUAAAUAUACAAUCCCUCUAAAAAAAGCCAUUUAACAAAG